GACGAACGCUGGCGGCGUGCCUAACACAUGCAAGUCGAGCGAAAAGACCAGGAGUUUGCGCGUCUGACGUUAGCGGCGGACGGGAGAGUCACAUGUGGAUAACCUACCUAUCAGACUGGGAUAAUUUCGGGAAACCGGAGCUUAUACCGGAGGAUAUAUUGCACCGCAGGGUGCAAUAGUGAAAGUCGGUUGUGGUGUCACUUAUAGAUGGAUCCGCGCCGUAUUAGCUCGUUGGUCAGGUAACGGCUUACUAAGGCGACGAUGCGUAGCCGACCUGAGAGCGUGGUCGCCCACCUGGGAGGUGAGCCGGGCCCCUGACUCCUGCGCUACGCCGCAGCACGGACUCCGACGCAAUGGGGGAGAGCCUUACAGAGCAGCGCGGCGCAAGUUCUGAAGCUGUUCGGUUCGGGAAGCUCUGUUAUUAGUGGUGAACAAAUGUGUAAGUACCCGUGCAGGUAUUGACGGUACCGGGUCAAAAAGCCCCGGCUAACUACGUG
Molecule: ribosomal RNA, 497 nt
Filed under: uncultured bacterium
Lineage: Bacteria
Description: partial 16S ribosomal RNA
Rfam family: Bacterial small subunit ribosomal RNA
Source: RNAcentral